ACGAACGCUGGCGGCGUGCCUAACACAUGCAAGUCGAACGGAAAGGCCCUGCUUUUGUGGGGUGCUCGAGUGGCGAACGGGUGAGUAACACGUGAGUAACCUGCCCUUGACUUUGGGAUAACUUCAGGAAACUGGGGCUAAUACCGGAUAGGAGCUCCUGCUGCAUGGUGGGGGUUGGAAAGUUUCGGCGGUUGGGGAUGGACUCGCGGCUUAUCAGCUUGUUGGUGGGGUAGUGGCUUACCAAGGCUUUGACGGGUAGCCGGCCUGAGAGGGUGACCGGCCACAUUGGGACUGAGAUACGGCCCAGACUCCUACGGGAGGCAGCAGUGGGGAAUAUUGCACAAUGGGCGGAAGCCUGAUGCGGCAACGCCGCGUGCGGGAUGACGGCCUUCGGGUUGUAAACCGCUUUCGCCUGUGACGAAGCGUGAGUGACGGUAAUGGGUAAAGAAGCACCGGCUAACUACGUG
Molecule: ribosomal RNA, 467 nt
Filed under: uncultured bacterium
Lineage: Bacteria
Description: partial 16S ribosomal RNA
Rfam family: Bacterial small subunit ribosomal RNA
Source: RNAcentral